UUGUUUGCAUCUGCUCACGCACUCACGCAGUGGCUCUCCAGUUCUUUUUUUCCUUCUUUCUUUUUCCUUUCUAUCUGUAUUUUCCCCCCUCUUUAUCUGUAUAAGUAUUUAGCUAACUCUCUGUUUCAUAAGACGAAUGGCGUGAAAAAUUUACGAGGAAAAAAAACUAAGAGGUAGGUCAAUAUUCAAAGCAAUUGGGUCUUUUCAUGAAUGAGCAGUGGGUUACCCCUUCAAACCGAACAACUUCGCUUUUGAGGGAGGGGUAGUGCCGCGUGAAAUUGGAAAAAACUUCUGUGUAAUUACCCUUCUGGAGUUUUAGCAUCUCUUUUGUAAUUUCUCUCCAUCAUUGAACGUUGUUCAUAAUUACCCUUUUCCUCUGAUUGGUGAAUAAGUAUUUGAUUCGGUAUUUUUUCUUUGACGGACUGUUGCAGAUUUGAAUAACUACAAUGACAAGUAGAUAAACAUGGUGCUAUAAGUUCACCUUAAAAUGCCUAGAAGCUACUCUUGAAGUGGUAGUACUAUGUGAAUUUAUUGAAGCUAUGAUAAAUAGUAUACUCUACUAAGUUUUCUCAUUUGAUUUUUGUGGUGGUGUCAAAUUUUCUGGAGAUUUGGCUAAUCAGCUUGUGUACACUAUGUUUAGACCAACCCCUUUGCUGUAUAAGUCUGAAAAUAGAGAUGAAGUUAGGGGAGAAACCAUACUAAUUCAAAAAUCGGCCAAUUAGACAGAGUCCAUCACAUGUUUGAUUAUAUGACCAAAAUAAAAAAUCAUUAUAGAAAAUGAUUAAAGCAGAAGAGUUUCAUAUUCCUGUGAUUAUCAUCAGCCUUACUGAGUUCAACUAGCAUUAUUAAGGUAGAUAUUUUUUAAACUCAUUUAGAUUAAUGGACCCAUCCAGAGCUGCUCAACUGAUUCUUUUUUUUUUCUUACUUACUUACUUUUGGGGAUAAGGGUGGACUUAUCUCUUUAGUUGUGUGUAGCUGUGUAUUCACUUUGCCAGUAUGAGUAGGAAAUAAAGGUUCUGAAACCUUCAAUGAGGAAUUUAUUUCAUUAUCCGGUUUUAUAGCUAAUGGUGAGAUUUUCAGCAAUUUCUUUUCAUCAACUUUGUGUCUUUUCCUUUAGUAUCAAUUUAAAGUUCAAUAAUUUACAAGACGAAUCAAGGGGACUCAAAUUUGUCUGUGUUUAAAAUGAUUGUAUUUAUGAGCAUAUGGUUUGGUAUUGAUAUAUAGUUUUUUCUGAUAGACAUAUAAUAUUUGUGUAGUCUUAGUUGUUUUACCGAGCGACAAGUACUAAAUACUAAAUCCAGGAAAAUUUGAGCGACAAAUUAUUUGCAAGGAAACUGCCAAACAUGUGAAGAUAGACUGUUGUCUUCUGAUUAACAUGAGCGAAGAAUUAUUUGCUAGGCAACUACCAAACAUGCAAGGAUAGACUGUUGUCUUCUGAUGGACAGAAAGUAGUAGCACACUUGAAACUUGAAAUUGAAGGCUGAUUUGAAAGAGAAAACAUCUUCAACAUUAAUUUAUUGGAGUGCACUGCAUUGACCAACUCAAGCAAACAUGUUGGUUAAAUGUAUGCUUAAGUUGCUGCAUGUGCCUAGAGGAAGCUGAAGCCAUCGUUCAGUGAAUUAGAUUUUAUCGAGCAAAUGGUGUAUUUACCUUUGCUUCUCAACUAUAGUGCAUGUUUCUAGGAUUAUUUAACUCAAAAGGCUGAUGCCCGGUAUUCUAGAGGAAGUUAUCAUAAGUUGGAUGGGCAAGAAAAGUAAAGAAUAUUUCAGGGACGUGAGAAUACAAUUUUAGCCUGCAUUUUUUAGGUGUUUGGAAUGAAAGAAACAUAGAUGUUUCAGAAAUGAAGAAAAUUCAAUCCACACACUAGAACAUAAAUAUUUGUGCUUUUGUGGUUGUCUUGAACCAAAACGAAAGAUGUAUACAAUAUGAAUAUGAUGUUAACCUCAAUCUUUUAUUAAAUUUAGUAGUACAAUCUCGCAGAAUGAAUUUGUUUUAAACUUAUUUAAACAUAUCUGAAAGAUAAACAAAAUGCACAGCAAUGUGUUGGGAGAUUUGCUAAUGAGGGUGUCCUUCACCUUAAAAGUUUAUCACAUAAUUUGAAAGGAUGAGGUGGAGGACAAUUAUAAGAUGAAUUAAGUAUGAUUAUUUCUCAGCACAUCCUCUACUUAAAAUACAAUUUAUUAUUUGCCUUUUCGAUUUUCUCAUCUUUUCAAUCUCUUUCAUAGUCCUUUUAGCUUCAUCUGCCAUAAAACACGUACUCCUACUCGCCGGCGACAGCAACCAAGCCCAAAAGUAAAUAUUACUGAGAUUUUCGUGUAUGUUUCUCUUAGCUCUUUCCUUCUGUUUUUCUAUCUCUUCUUUCCUAAGUUUCAAGGCCAUACUGAUGGAAUUUGGGUCUACUUCUGAAUUUGAUCCUAAUUAAUUAGUUGCCUUUCGAAUAUAUGUGCAUUCCACUUUCACAUCCCAGAUUUGCAUUCCGUAUACUCUGUUUCUUUUGUUACAUUUUCUAGCCUAAUUUUUUGAUUUUCCUUUCAAAUUUCUCUAAUUUCCUUCAGUGUUUGCUAUAUUUCGUUUGGAGUUUUGCAGAAUUUUUCUUCAGUCUUUCUUUGUUUAUUGCAACCAUGUAUUGGUAAUGGGUAUUUGGUGGGUAUCUCUUAUUCACUACUCUCUGCGAUAAUUUCUUCCAUUUUGUACGUCUGAAUUGCACUUCUUUGUUGGAAAAUUUUCUGCAUAGGUUUAAACACGAUUUGGGCAUAAUUAAUUUCCAUCUAGGACAAAAAUGUUGAAGAAACAAACAAGAUUUCUCAUGCAACCAAGGUGUUUGAUAAUAUGUCUUAAAUACAAGAGCUGUGUUGUUUACUUGAGAGCUGAAUUUGGCAUUUUAGGUAUGUAUUUGUACUGGGUGCUCCUUUUUUAGGUUUCGUUUAAAAGACUAUAUUUGACUUUUGUAUAGGUUAUGGGUAUUUGUUCCCUUUAAUCACAUAUUAACAAGAUUGUCUACUCUUUCUUGACAUACAAUGAUUUGCGUAUAUUAUUAACUUGAGAAACUGCACUUAAAAAAUCAACCAGAAAAAAUCUCAGUAAGAAACUUUACCAUAAGGUGUUAAAUUUGAAAUGUUCAUAUGCAACAUGGCAUUACUAAAGGCUAAAAGUUUGAAAUGGAGAUUUCAAUAAUUGUGCUGGAGAUUUUGUUAAUUAAUGGUUCUAAUGCUAAUUGGCGCUUUUCUUGAUGUUUAUACGGCCAAUUAGUAUCCCUCAAAUUAUGAUUUGUUUUCUUUAGACUAUGUAGCUUUCGAUGCAUGACCCCGAACUAAUAACUGCAUCAGUAAAGGUAGGCCCUCAUGGAGCUUUCCUUCUGGACGAUGAACAAGGCUGAUACAAAUAGAUAGCUUUUUAUGUAUGACUAACCUGGAUGAAAAUAAUUUUUACCCUGACAUUAGUUAUCGGGUCUUGGCUUCUUUUUAAGGCAAUGUUAAUUAGGCUUCAGCAAUGAAGUAUCUUUUGAAAGUUGUCCUUAAUAUGAGUUGGAACUGGUACUUGGCAGGCAUUGCCUGGUUAUCUGUUAUAAAUUCUUUCUUAUUUUUGCAAUACUUUAAUUCUAUUUGUUGUUAUUUAGUGCAAGAUAAACAACUUACCCACAAAAAAUAUAGAAAUUAAAAAAAAAUAAAGUCUCUAGAUCAAGCAUUUGACUUCCCAGAGAUGCCAGAUUGAUGUUGCAAUUAUUUUGUUUCUUUUCUUGAAAGCUUGUAAAGUUAAGUGCCAGAAAAAUGAAUCUUUGAAUUUGUGUAUUUAUACAUAAUGAAAAACUUUGGUUCUAAUACUGAAGCAUGUCAUUUAUAAAUCUUAAUAUGUUUUCUUUAUGCUUUUGUCCAUGGAUAAAUAUUUUCUCUAUAUAUAGUUAGUCACAUUGGAGGAUCUAGAAUUACAUAACAGACUUUGGUUAGCUUUUCAAUUGUGCAGACUAUUUUAUUCUGCUAUUAUUAUUCAUAUGUAUUGUAUUGUGUUAAAUGAUAUAUAUUGCUAGCAUAUUGCAGUUAAAAGGAAAACUAGAAUAUUGGGAUUCUGCUUGGUCGUUUGAAGGAAAAAGCUGUUAUUGCCAAGAUCCAGGUACCUCCUACCAGCCUCAUUUUUAGCUGCACAGUUGCUGCCAUUCCGGAGACUUCAAAGUACAUCUGUCGCGUCCACAUACCUCGGAGUCUCCUUCUACCCCUUCUGAUGUUGCUUCCCUUUAAUUUAUUCUAGUACAGAUGUAUAGAACAAUUGACAGAGAUCUUAGAAGCUUGUGACUUACGGUUUUCGGGUCUUGGGAGAAUUGUGUACAAUUCGAGAGUGAUUAUUGUAUAUGCCGAGCGGCAUCUCAAAUGCUUAUUUAAAUUA
This is a long non-coding RNA of Nicotiana tabacum (common tobacco), 4377 nucleotides long. RefSeq lists it as uncharacterized. The record is from RefSeq and is a predicted model, not a curated record. NCBI's taxonomy places the organism in Eukaryota, Viridiplantae, Streptophyta, Magnoliopsida, Solanales, Solanaceae.